RNAcentral lists this ribosomal RNA (496 nucleotides) under uncultured bacterium. RNAcentral's name for it is "bacterial SSU rRNA". It matches the Rfam family "Bacterial small subunit ribosomal RNA", at positions 28 to 521 of the family's 1533-position model. The record is from RNAcentral.
GACGAACGCUGGCGGCGUGCUUAACACAUGCAAGUCGAGCGGUAAGGCCCUUUCGGGGGUACACGAGCGGCGAACGGGUGAGUAACACGUGGGUGACCUGCCCUCAGCUCUGGGAUAAGCCUGGGAAACUGGGUCUAAUACUGGAUAUGACUCCACGGUGCAUGUCGUGGGGUGGAAAGCCUUGUGCGGCUGAGGAUGGGCCCGCGGCCUAUCAGCUUGUUGGUGGGGUGANGGCCUACCAAGGCGACGACGGGUAGCCGGCCUGAGAGGGCGACCGGCCACACUGGGACUGAGACACGGCCCAGACUCCUACGGGAGGCAGCAGUGGGGAAUCUUGCGCAAUGGGCGAAAGCCUGACCCAGCAACGCCGCGUGAAGGAUGAAAUCCCUCGGGAUGUAAACUUCGCAAGAACGGGAAGAAUAAGUAGGGGACAAUACCCCCUAUGAUGACGGUACCGUUUGUAAGCUCCGGCUAACUCCGUGCCAGCCGCCGCGGU